GAUCCUGGCUCAGGACGAACGCUGGCGGCGUGCUUAACACAUGCAAGUCGAACGCUGAAGCUUGGUGCUUGCACUGGGUGGAUGAGUGGCGAACGGGUGAGUAUCACGUGAGUAACCUGCCCCUGACUUCGGGAUAAGCCUGGGAAACUGGGUCUAAUACCGGAUAUGACCAUCUUUCGCAUGUUGGGUGGUGGAAAGUUUUUUCGGUUGGGGAUGGGCUCGCGGCCUAUCAGUUUGUUGGUGGGGUAA
This 249-nucleotide ribosomal RNA is filed under the name uncultured bacterium. Its description in RNAcentral is "partial 16S ribosomal RNA". It matches the Rfam family "Bacterial small subunit ribosomal RNA", at positions 15 to 260 of the family's 1533-position model. The record is from RNAcentral.